Molecule: ribosomal RNA, 96 nt
Filed under: uncultured bacterium
Lineage: Bacteria
Description: partial 16S ribosomal RNA
Source: RNAcentral
CCCUAUGGGUCGUAAACUGCUUUUGAACAAGAGAAAACCCUCCUACGUGUAGGAGGCUGAUAGUAUUGUUAGAAUAAGCAUCGGCUAACUUCGUGC